UAAUAAGUGUUUUAUGGCACUUUUUAAAUCCACAUCCACCUUGUGUGCAAUGUCAGUCGAUCUUCUUCAUGGAGAUCGACCAAACAUCAACCUUUAUCUUUAAACUCUUUGUCUGAAAAAUAUUAUGAAUAAACAAUUCAAAAUACAACUUUCAAACAAACGGAUCUCUUGGCUCUCGGCAUCGAUGAAGAACGCAGCGAAAUGCGAUACGUAAUGUGAAUUGCAGAAUUCAGUGAAUCAUCGAAUCUUUGAACGCAUAUUGCGCUCUUUGGUAUUCCGAAGAGCGCAAUAUGCGUUCAAAGAUUCGAUGAUUCACUGAAUUCUGCAAUUCACAUUACGUAUCGCAUUUCGCUGCGUUCUUCAUCGAUGCGAGAGCCAAGAGAUCCGUUGUUGAAAGUUGUAUUUUGAAUUGUUUAUUCAUAAUAUUUUUCAGACAAAGAGUUAAAAGAUAAAGGUUGAUGUUUGGGUCGAUCUUCUUCAUGGAGAUCGACCAAACAUCAACCUUUAUCUUUUAAACUCUUUGUCUGAAAAAUAUUAUGAAUAAACAAUUCAAAAUA
This 557-nucleotide unclassified non-coding RNA is filed under the name soil metagenome. RNAcentral describes it as "partial contains internal transcribed spacer 1, 5.8S ribosomal RNA, and internal transcribed spacer 2". The stretch from base 147 to 298 matches the Rfam family "5.8S ribosomal RNA". The record is from RNAcentral.